GACGAACGCUGGCGGCGUGCUUAACACAUGCAAGUCGAACGGAGUGGCGAACGGGUGAGUAUUACGUGAGUAACCUGCCCUCAACUGUGGGAUAAGCCUGGGAAACUGGGUCUAAUACUUCAUAGUUGGGGAUGGGCUCUCGGCCUAUCAGCUUGUUGGUGGGGUGAUGGCCUACCAAGGCGGUCACGGGUAGGCGGCCGGAGAGGGUGGUCGGCAAGAAUGGGACUGCGAUACGGCCCAGGCGCCUACGGGAGGGAGCAGUGUGGGAUAUUGCACAAUGGGCGCAAGCCUAAGGCAGCGGCGCCGCGUGAGGGAUGAAGGCUUUCGGGUUGUAAAGCUCUUUCGGUACAGAACGGGUAUGUGCAGAAGAAGCGCCGGCUAACUACGUGCCAGCAGCCGCGGUAAUAC
Molecule: ribosomal RNA, 408 nt
Filed under: uncultured bacterium
Lineage: Bacteria
Description: partial 16S ribosomal RNA
Rfam family: Bacterial small subunit ribosomal RNA
Source: RNAcentral